RNAcentral lists this transfer RNA (93 nucleotides) under Sinosporangium siamense. RNAcentral describes it as "tRNA-Leu". Lineage: Bacteria; Bacillati; Actinomycetota; Actinomycetes; Streptosporangiales; Streptosporangiaceae. The record is from RNAcentral.
GAGGUGGUGGGACAUGUCUGCCCGGUUCCCCCGAUCAAGGCGGGGGAACUGGGCUUGACCUGGUCUUAUAGCGUUCGAUUCGGAUUCAUCACC